RNAcentral lists this ribosomal RNA (496 nucleotides) under uncultured bacterium. Its description in RNAcentral is "partial 16S ribosomal RNA". It matches the Rfam family "Bacterial small subunit ribosomal RNA", at positions 28 to 507 of the family's 1533-position model. The record is from RNAcentral.
GACGAACGCUGGCGGCGUGCCUAAUACAUGCAAGUUGAGCGCUGAAGGUUGGUACUUGUACCAACUGGAUGAGCAGCGAACGGGUGAGUAACGCGUGGGGAAUCUGCCUUUGAGCGGGGGACAACAUUUGGAAACGAAUGCUAAUACCGCAUAAAAACUUUAAACACAAGUUUUAAGUUUGAAAGAUGCAAUUGCAUCACUUAAAGAUUAUCCCGCGUUGUAUUAGCUAGUUGGUGAGGUAAAGGCUCACCAAGGCGAUGAUACAUAGCCGACCUGAGAGGGUGAUCGGCCAAACUGGAACUGAGACACGGCCCAAACUCCUACGGGAGGCAGCAGUAGGGAAUCUUCCGCAAUGGGCGAAAGCCUGACGGAGCAACGCCGCGUGAGUGAAGAAGGUUUUCGGAUCGUAAAACUCUGUUGUUAGGGAAGAACGUAGGUGUAAGUAACAGGGCACACAUUGACGGGAACUAACCAGAAAGGGACGGCCAACCACGUG